GGUUGUGGCUCAGUGGUGGAGCACUUGCCUAGCAAGUGCAAGGCCCUGGGUUUGAUCCUCAGCACCA
Molecule: transfer RNA, 67 nt
Filed under: Marmota monax (woodchuck)
Lineage: Eukaryota; Metazoa; Chordata; Mammalia; Rodentia; Sciuridae
Description: tRNA.Ala
Source: RNAcentral